Molecule: small nuclear RNA, 109 nt
Organism: Cervus hanglu yarkandensis (Yarkand deer)
Lineage: Eukaryota; Metazoa; Chordata; Mammalia; Artiodactyla; Cervidae
Source: Ensembl
UUGCUUUAAAAGCCUCAGUAGCAUGUAUACUAAAAUUGGAACAAGAGUGAGAUUAGCAUGGCCCCUGUGCAAGGAUCACGUGCAACUUUAUGAAGCAUUCUGUAUUUUU